AGGAGUUUGAUCAUGGCUCAGGAUGAACGCUGGCGGUGCGCCUAAUGCAUGCAAGUCGAGCGACGCACGUCCAGUCCGUAAGGACAGGGCAUGACGGAGCGGCGAACGGGUGAGUAACACGUGAGCAACCUGCCCCACAGACCGGGAUAGCCCAGGGAAACCUGGAUUAAUACCGGAUACCCUCGAAGGAUCGCAUGGUCUAUCGAGGAAAUGCCUUUGUGCUGUGGGAUGGGCUCGCGACUUAUCAGUUAGUUGGUGGGGUAACGGCCUACCAAGACAAUGACGAGUAGCUGGUCUGAGAGGACGAUCAGCCACACUGGAACUGAGACACGGUCCAGACUCCUACGGGAGGCAGCAGCAGGGAAUCUUGCGCAAUGGGCGAAAGCCUGACGCAGCGACACCGCGUGGGGGAUGAAGGCCUUCGGGUUGUAAACCCCUUUCAGGAGGGAAGAAAUUGACGGUACCUCCACAAGAAGGACCGGCCAACUACGUGCCAGCAGCCGCGGUAAUACGUANGGUCCGAGCGUUAUCCGGAAUCAUUGGGCGUAAA
Molecule: ribosomal RNA, 550 nt
Filed under: uncultured Actinomycetes bacterium
Lineage: Bacteria; Bacillati; Actinomycetota; Actinomycetes
Description: bacterial SSU rRNA
Rfam family: Bacterial small subunit ribosomal RNA
Source: RNAcentral